This 559-nucleotide ribosomal RNA is filed under the name uncultured bacterium. Its description in RNAcentral is "bacterial SSU rRNA". It matches the Rfam family "Bacterial small subunit ribosomal RNA", at positions 120 to 674 of the family's 1533-position model. The record is from RNAcentral.
GGGAAACUGCCCGAUGGAGGGGGAUAACUACUGGAAACGGUAGCUAAUACCGCAUAACGUCGCAAGACCAAAGUGGGGGACCUUCGGGCCUCACACCAUCGGAUGUGCCCAGAUGGGAUUAGCUAGUAGGUGGGGUAAUGGCUCACCUAGGCGACGAUCCCUAGCUGGUCUGAGAGGAUGACCAGCCACACUGGAACUGAGACACGGUCCAGACUCCUACGGGAGGCAGCAGUGGGGAAUAUUGCACAAUGGGCGCAAGCCUGAUGCAGCCAUGCCGCGUGUAUGAAGAAGGCCUUCGGGUUGUAAAGUACUUUCAGCGGGGAGGAAGGCGGUGGAGUUAAUAACUUCACCGAUUGACGUUACCCGCAGAAGAAGCACCGGCUAACUCCGUGCCAGCAGCCGCGGUAAUACGGAGGGUGCAAGCGUUAAUCGGAAUUACUGGGCGUAAAGCGCACGCAGGCGGUCUGUCAAGUCGGAUGUGAAAUCCCCGGGCUUAACCUGGGAACUGCAUUCGAAACUGGCAGGCUAGAGUCUUGUAGAGGGGGGUAGAAUUCCAGGU